CCCUUAGAUGUUCUGGGCCGCACGCGUGCUACACUGAGUGGAUCAGCGGGUCAGGUUGCGCGAAAGCGUUUCCUAAUCUUUAAAUCCGCUCGUGAUGGGGAUUGACGGUUGCAAUUUUCUGUCAUGAACGAGGAAUACCUUGUAAGCGCGGGUCAUCAUCCCGCGCUGAAUACGUCCCUGCCCUUUGUACACACCGCCCGUCGCUCCUACCGAUUGAGUGGUCCGGUGAGGCCUCGGGAUUGUGGCCAGUUCACUUUAUUGGGAGUUGGCUGUGAGAACUUGUCUAAACCUUAUCAUUUAGAGGAAGGUGAAGUCGUAACA
RNAcentral lists this ribosomal RNA (321 nucleotides) under uncultured eukaryote. RNAcentral's name for it is "partial 18S ribosomal RNA". It matches the Rfam family "Eukaryotic small subunit ribosomal RNA", at positions 1470 to 1796 of the family's 1831-position model. The record is from RNAcentral.